CCACCUUCACCGCCGUUAGGGGAGUUUCAUCCAGCGAUGGCAAAGGUGA
This 49-nucleotide non-coding RNA is filed under the name Nakaseomyces glabratus. Lineage: Eukaryota; Fungi; Ascomycota; Saccharomycetes; Saccharomycetales; Saccharomycetaceae. The record is from RNAcentral.